ACAAAUUCCUUUCUCUUUUCUUUGUUCUCUUUAGAAAGGAGAUGUAAGAUUCUUGAUUUGCACAGAUGUAGCUGCCAGAGGAAUUGAUAUCCAUGGUGUUCCUUAUGUUAUAAAUGUCACCCUGCCUGAUGAAAAGCAAAACUAUGUACAUCGAAUUGGUAGAGUAGGAAGAGCUGAAAGGAUGGGUCUGGCCAUUUCCCUGGUGGCAACAGAAAAAGAAAAGGUAAUCUUU
This is a long non-coding RNA of Galeopterus variegatus (Sunda flying lemur), 232 nucleotides long. RefSeq lists it as uncharacterized. The transcript has 3 exons. NCBI's taxonomy places the organism in Eukaryota, Metazoa, Chordata, Mammalia, Dermoptera, Cynocephalidae. The record is from RefSeq and is a predicted model, not a curated record.